UACCCUUCACUUUCUCCUUCUCCUUAUUUUCUAUUUAGAGAAUAGAUCAGUUAAUUCAUGAAUUGGACCCUAAAAGAACUGGUGUAAUAACAUUUGAGAGCUUUAGCAAAGGAAUAGAGGCAUACUUAAUAGGUAGAAGAGACUCUGUUACAUCAAGUAGGUCUGACUCAUUUUCCCGUACAAGCUUUGACGAAAACUUCCCUGGUACCACUAGUCCUAUUGAGGAUAGUACAUUCACUGUAGGUGAUGUUAAUAGUCCUACCAUUGACUCACCUCAGCUCUCCUACUACUCACUAGGAUUCACCAGUUCUUCAAGGUAUCUAAUG
Long non-coding RNA from Amphimedon queenslandica, 326 nucleotides. RefSeq lists it as uncharacterized. The transcript has 3 exons. Lineage: Eukaryota; Metazoa; Porifera; Demospongiae; Haplosclerida; Niphatidae. The record is from RefSeq and is a predicted model, not a curated record.